Molecule: long non-coding RNA, 3780 nt
Filed under: Equus asinus (donkey)
Lineage: Eukaryota; Metazoa; Chordata; Mammalia; Perissodactyla; Equidae
Description: lncRNA (ENSEASG00005037622.1)
Source: RNAcentral
CAUAAGUCUGCCUCUUUUCUCUGAUCCCUUCUCCCCUCUGUCUACAAACCCUUCCUGAUGCCCGGGUCAUGCAAUUAAAUACUAUUUUUAAAACCAAGUUUUAUCUACGCUCCCUGUGGGUUAUCUCAGCUCCUACAGAGGCUCAGGAAACUGUGACAGCACAAUCGUCACACUGACUUGACAGGAGGCAGCCUGGGAAGUCAUGAUGGAUGAGGCUGCUCUCUUCCUGGCCUGGCCCCUCUUGGGGGUUCAGUGCUCGUCUCUGAAGUCACUGAGGUUUUUGUUGCAGUUUCCCUACGGUAUAGAGCGUGCCCUACAUCGCAGGGCUGGGCUAAGACGGAUUUCUGGCUUUCUUUUCUCAAAAAAUCAUGCUCAUUCAGGCACUGGCGAAUAUAGGUUCUGGUACUGAAGAUGAGCUGUCUGUUAAACUCUGAAUAGGGCUAUUCUCUCUGCAAUUAGAGACUUUUGGCUCAAACAAGAUCUUUUCUGGGAAGCCAUAAGCCUGUAUUCUGAUAUUUCAACAUUUCACCCUUCAUCCUCCCCACCAGCCCUCACUAGGGUUCAUAUCAUCCUAGAAAUGGAACACCACCACAAAGCAGUCACCCACAUGGAUUCUCCCACUUUGCAGGCUUACGAUAAUGAAGUCAAACACACAUACACAGGCUCCAAAUACCUUUGGUAGAGCUUUACACCCAUAUGUGUGAAGGGCCAUUUCCAAACGGAAUAAUAACUGGAAGGCACGACUAAACCACUAGAAUAAAAUCCCCCUUUGGAUUAGGUAUCAGCAAAGUAAAUUAGUAACAUCUGAGCGCCUGUUAAGACUAGAGAUUCGCCGUUUGCUGGGACUGGCAUUUAUUUCAUUAUUGAAAAGGAAGGGAAAAAACAGAAGGAAUCAAGUCAGCUGUACUGAGUGUCGAUGACACAUGUGCCUCCCAUUUUUGAAGCUCUUCUCCCUGGCGCCUCAGUGUACUGUCUGAGCUGCCCCUGGGCUACAACCGUGAUUAAGAGGAGAGGUCUCUCUUUUGAAGGGGUUGGUGGUCUCUUGAGCUGAGGAAGUGGAACACGGGUUGACGAGCCUGGCUGAUGGAAAACUGGAGGGCAUGCUGUGGGCUUCUCCCCUGCCACCUUCCCCGCUCUUGACGUCUUCUGGAAAUUGCCACCUUUAGGAGUCUGAGGAGCCAGGCAUCCUCGAGGGCAGGCUUCCUGUGUGGAGAGCCUUGUGGCUGAGGUCUGACCACACCACAAACCCACUGCUGCUCAUCAGUGUGGGCCAAGGAUGGAAGAGAAGCCAUGGUGCAGAGAGGGGUGUGGGUCAGGGGCUGAGGAUGCCUCCGGCCUUUCCUAAAAAGGAGGGAGCUGGACUUGCUUUUCCCUGAGACAUCUUCUGGUUGCGCCUCAGUCUACCCUGCGUUUGUCAUUUAGAUGGGGAGCUCCCCCACCAUCUCAUUCGGCAUGGGGUUUACAGGUCUAACAGGCCACGGUUUUAUGAGCUGCCUUGUGAAUAUUAAAAGUCGCAUUUCUUUUUCUGUUUCUUUGGAUUGCUUGAAUUUUUUAAGGUUGAGCAGUUUUUUAAAUAGCAAAGUGUAAAGUCCUAAGUCUUCUUAGAGGCUGUCAUUCUCCUGUGAUUUCAGCUCCCUAGCCUCCUUCGUGACUUUGAUCACCAAGUCCCCCGUUACGUUGGAAGAUUAAAGGCAUGUGGACGUCCGGGGGAGGGCAGCCUGGAGGUGACAUUCAAAAGCUCGAUUAGUCUUCUGCGGAUCAGUUGUCUACAGGCUUCCAGAAUAGCCCUCCAGACUACAUUUUAGGACAGGGCUGCCAGCAGCUGCUGUCUUGACCUGACCAGGAAGUUGCUGCUCCCCUCUGACUCCAGGACCACCCACCCCUGCCAUGGUCUGCACCAGCAAAAUGGACACCUUGCAUCCUACCCCUCUUCCCACGCAACUCAGAGCCUCGGUCUCCUCAUUUAUAAACUGAGUGGCAUCCACCUCCAGGUCAUAUGUAAUACAUUUCACAGCUGGUGUGUCAUAGGCACAGGCCAGUGAGGAUGGCCGUAGAUUGUAAAUCGCUCAUUAGGACUUACUGGUGCCAACCAGCUGAAUACCAACCCUCCUGGCAGUAUCACCAGAAAUGCCAAGUGGCAAGGGUUAUCUGGAUGGUCCUAGGUGCAUAGAGCAUGAGUGGUUUGACUGAGAUUACACAGGCCAGUGGUUAGAAUGUGGUGAGAAUUCCAUGAACACCCCCAAGACCUUUAAAGGAGAGAGAAUGCUCUUGCAGAUUUGGAGGAGAAACCCAGGAUGCAUCUGGACCAUCCACCUGAGUGCAAUGCUCCCACACAAGGAGGACGGCUGGGCAAGGAGCUGAGCGCUCAGUCAAGGAUGAUGCUGCUCCAUUGCUCCCCUCUUGUUCUGGUGAAACAGGUGGACGGAUUUGAGCCUGAGAAGUAACAAGCAAGGAGAAUAACUGGGAGCAUUAGGCUUUGGGGUGCCCUCUGCUUGAGCAUGACGGGCACUCAUCCUGUCUGAGGCAAAGGUGUGGACAGGAUGAAACAUGCCAGAGACUGGAGUCCGGAACCUUGAAAGUUUAAUGAGGACAGUUAGUGGAGUGACGCUAUGAUUAAUCACGUCAAAAGCAUCACGUAAAUCAAGCUGGAUGGUGGUGGACAACGACUAUUUAAUUUUGAUACUAAAAGGUCAUUUGGAACGCUUACUAGUGCGCUGUCAGGAGGGGCUGGCUUCUAAAUCCAGGUGGAUAAAGGUCCAUUAGGUCCCUGAGUGGAGGACUUAAGAUCCGAGCCAACUAGACAGGCCUGAUGCACCUGAACACAGGAGAAAAGGCAAAAGGAGACAUUUCAAAGUGAAACCGAGUCACUGAGGGUUUUACACUUUUUUAAUUUUUAAUUUUUUAAAUCUCUCCUCACUUGAGGUCCUAGAAAAAUGAUAUUAAGAAGGGCAGUAACUGAAUACAAGGCCGUCAGAGGAACUAUUGCUGUCAUGUUUUGUGAGCAAAGGAACAUGUUAUGUAAGCAGAUUAUGAGGGCUAUGCACAGAGAGGAGAGUUCAAUAUUUUCAGAAAGUCAAGCUCACAACUGAAUGUCUCUGAUGCGCAUUUAAGGAAGAGCAUAACCAAGGGAUAUUAGAGCGAUGGAGGACCUGGACGAUUGUCUGGUCCAUCCUCCUCACUGGCACCGAUGAGGACAAUUACGCAGAGAUGAUGCCCAUGGGCCGAGUUUGCGCAGCAACAAAUGGCGGGGCAGGGAUGAGCGUGGGGCUGCUGGCUCUCUCCAGGCGCAUCCACUCCAUCCAACCUUAGGUGGGGCGGGAGCCCCAGCUGUGAACAUACAUUUCACUUGACUGCAUGGCCACCAGACAAAGACUUUGCAAGGCAUCUGGCAGAGGGAAUCGGACCGAGCCAGAGCUGCUCAGGAGAUCCUGAAAGGCCGCGAUGUGGAAGCCAAAGGGCAGAGGCUCCCUCCUCUCUGGGAAGCAGCGUCUAGAGCCCAGGCCCCCUGGCUGCCCGCCCUUGGCUCUCACCUGCCUGGGGGCGCUCAGCUUGGAGCCAGCCUGGCUGGGGGGGGCGGGCAGAAGGGUGGGUGCUCACGAGGUGCGGGAGGGAAGGGACACCCUGCUUCAGAUGCCCCAGUCAGCGCCGUCCUCCUGGUGACUCCUUAAUUUCACCAUUUAAACACAGCUCCUUUUUCUCUCCUUUCUUACCUUUUUUUGAAUGGGUUGUCUUUCUUUGCUUGCUUGCUCGCUUUUCUUAUUCCAUUUCCCCCUCUUUCCU